This 228-nucleotide long non-coding RNA is filed under the name Drosophila guanche. Lineage: Eukaryota; Metazoa; Arthropoda; Insecta; Diptera; Drosophilidae. The record is from RNAcentral.
UAACAUUCAUUUUGUUUAUUUUACAAAUUUAUUUAUUCUUCGAGAAAACGUAGGUCGUACAGCCGAGUUCGACAGAGAAUGUUGGCAUGAUCUUCUCUCUAAAUCGUAUAGUUUUCGAGAGGCAUCUUUAAUGAUAAUCAGUGUAUUGAAGUGUAAGUCUUGUGCACUUGAUUGAUUGAUUGACGCGGUGUAGACAGAAGAAGAAAUAUAAUUUCACUCAUACUGAUA